GUGACAUUGACAACAUUAUUUUCUGUCAUUUUUAUACAACUUUUGUUGAUAAAAAUAUUUAGAAAAUAAAUAGCAACAAAGUGAAGAAAUUUAUAUUUAUAUAGAACAUCUUCAAUUCUAUCUAUUUUAAAUCAGAAGUCAAUAACCCGGAUAUAAUCAAUAUGGCCGAGCGAAACGAUGAUAAUUUUAAUGAUAUAAUGUUUGAGAUAAAUGUUCAACAAAUACCUAGAGUAGUAAACAACAUUGCUGAACCAAAUGAUGACAAUUUUAAUGAUUUGAUGUUUCAAAUAAAUGAUCAGCAAGAACACCGGGAGAUCGCAUCUUUAUCCAAUGAUUCCAAUUUAGGAUCAUCACUUACAAAUUAUGGAAUAGAUCGAAAUAAUCCAGAGGAAAAUCAACAGUAUAUCAGAGAAAAUGAAGAUCCACAUGCAAUUAUCCAAGGUAUAGGUGUUGAUGCUAUGUUUAUAGAUGAAAAUGUAAGAGAUGAUAGUGGUUUAGCCAGUUCAAUAUCUAAAACAAAAGAGAGUGAAUUUGUACCUCAAAUAAUAGAAUUUGAAAAAGAAAAAACUGCAAAUACUCAAUCUCUGUUGAAUGAAAGUGACAUUGAAGAUGUAGAAAAUAUCCUAAUAGCAGAAGAAGCUACCUAUGAUGAAAUACAUAAUUUAUCUGAAGAAUUGCAAGAUAUGGGAUUAUCUACAUUUGAUUUGGCAAUAGAAAGGGGGUUUCAUGACCAAGCUAAGAUUUAUUAUGAUGAUGUUAUAUCAAAAGGUCAAAAAUUAAGAACAAAAUUUUUGAAAUCUGAAGAUGAAAUAAAUAAAGCAUCAAGUGAAAAAACUGGUCAGAACAAUGUAACUGAAACAGAUAUUUCAGGUUUAGGAAAUGGUUACUACAGCAAACAGUUUGUAUAUCAACAAAUUUACAUGUUACAGAUGGAUUUCAAAGAAUACUUGAACUGUAUUGAAAGUAAUGAUUAUAAGAAAUUAUUGAAAAAACUCCAGUAUAAAAAUAAUAGACUUAAUGAAGUGGAAAAGAAAAUUGAAAGGAAUAUUAACACAAAGAAAAAACGAAAUGAUGCAAUGCUAAAAGAAGAGACAAUAAACAUGAUAAGGAAAUUUAUAGAGCAUUUGGAUAGUUUUGAAAGUCAGUUCAAAGAUUUUAUCUUAAAACUAGCCAAGGAUAUGAAUAGUAUUCCUGAAGAGAGUGGAUGUGGAUCUGUGAAUGAAAUACAAAACAAUGACAAUGAUGAUAAUGCUGAAGGCGCAGUUGGUUAUUCAUAACGUCUUUAAAUUACAAAUGAACAGGAUACAAGUUAUAAAGGAACAAUUGCUUUAAAAAGGCAAUUAUAAAUAUUACCAAAAUUCCAAUCUGGUUAUAACAUAAAAUGUGCCUUUUUAAAAGGAAUUUAAUUCUAAUAAUUUAAGAGACUCAUGUUUUUAUACCCAUAUAUUAUAUAUACAGUAUACAAACUUUAGACAUUAUGUUAAUACUAGCAGAUAAG
Molecule: RNA transcript, 1498 nt
Organism: Amyelois transitella
Lineage: Eukaryota; Metazoa; Arthropoda; Insecta; Lepidoptera; Pyralidae
Exons: 3
Source: RefSeq, a predicted model, not a curated record